UUAGCUUGUUUUUCUCUAAAAUGGGAUAAUUGGCCCAUUUAGCUCCAAAAAGAAAUAGUUAUCUAAUUGAGCUCCAAGAAGAGGAGAAUAAAUAGUAAAAAUAAAAAGAAAGAAGAAGAAGAAGAAGAAGAAGAAGAAGAAGAAGAGAAGAAGGAGAAGGAGAAGGAGGAGGAGAAGGAGGAGAAGGCCAAGGACCUUCUAC
Molecule: long non-coding RNA, 202 nt
Filed under: Hordeum vulgare
Lineage: Eukaryota; Viridiplantae; Streptophyta; Magnoliopsida; Poales; Poaceae
Description: long non-coding RNA (HVUL_LNC015100)
Source: RNAcentral